This 253-nucleotide ribosomal RNA is filed under the name uncultured bacterium. RNAcentral's name for it is "partial 16S ribosomal RNA". It matches the Rfam family "Bacterial small subunit ribosomal RNA", at positions 524 to 776 of the family's 1533-position model. The record is from RNAcentral.
UACGUAGGGUGCAAGCGUUGUCCGGAAUUAUUGGGCGUAAAGAGCUCGUAGGCGGCCUGUCGCGUCGGCUGUGAAAACUCAGGGCUCAACCCUGAGCCUGCAGUCGAUACGGGCAGGCUAGAGUCCGGCAGGGGAGACUGGAAUUCCUGGUGUAGCGGUGAAAUGCGCAGAUAUCAGGAGGAACACCGGUGGCGAAGGCGGGUCUCUGGGCCGAUACUGACGCUGAGGAGCGAAAGCGUGGGGAGCGAACAGG